UGUAGUGUAGUUGUUCCCUGUACCUCAGGAGGUUUUUCAGGAGUGCCUCAGAGCUUUAUAUUGCAGCAGUUUUAUCACUGAAGUGUUACAUUCAGUGUAGGUAUGUGUCUGCGUACGUAAUGAAAAAGAGAUGGAGGAAGAAUGUAAAAUGGAUUUUAGUGUGCCUUUGUGAAAAAAAAAAAAAACAUUAAGUUUAUGCAACUGAAAAACAGUGUUUUACAGAGAAUAUUAUUUUCCAUGAUUCAUAGAUGGUCUAUAGUUCUGUCUAUCAAAUGACCAAGAAAAUACUGGUUUCCAACUUACUGUUUAUCUUUCUUUGAGAAUCAAGAGGUUUUUUCAUAAACCUGAGAGAAAUUUAGGUGAGGUUAUGCAUGUUCAGCUCAAUUCAAAGGUAAAUUCAGUUUCACUAGAUAUUUCCCAUAAAAAGAUUCUGAACAAAUUUAAUCUAUCUUUAAGGGAUCACACCUGCUAAAAAUGAGUAAAAUAAAAUUUAUAGUAAGCUAUGUGCGUGUUAUGUUCUCUCACUUUUUGUCAUCACUCUAGGUUUUAUCCUCUUUCUAUCUUGUUUGGCAGAAUUAUAGUGUGAGGAUAUGCUUUUAUGAAACAUUUUUAUAUAACUGUGAGUAUUGAUUGAAAUAGGGUCUUACUUUUUGUCAAAGGAUAUUUCAAAAUCCCUUAUGCAAGGCAAGAGGCAGUGAAGAAAGCUUUAUUGGCAUGUUAACUGAUUUGGAAGAUUGAGGGAGAUCAUCAAGGUACAUGGAGCUGUAAGAAUUGUUGAAUCAAUGUUACAGUAUUUUGUUGUUCACAGAUAUAAGCUGAGUCACUCAAGCCUGACAGAAAAAGCUCCUGGCAAAGCUGGAUGUCGGAUACUUCAUCAAGUCUCAUGGGUUCUGGGAAAUAAAAAUAGAUCAGUGAAAUAAGGGCCAAGUCCCAGUUUUGAAAAACUAUACAUAGGAAUUAGUAUGGUAGAAAAAGUAACAAUACUUGAUUAGAAAGUCUUCCUGCUUUUAGAUUAAUUUCUGGGCAGGAUUUUUGAGAUCAGAAUGAUGAUUAAGCUUAUAAAUGCUUAAACAAGUUGUUCUUAACCUUACUGCCUAUGAGUAUCACUUCUUAAUAGUUAGCUGGUUAUAAACAGUUCCAUUCCCAUUCACUAGCAAAUGAAUUGGCUGUCCUUCCUAUUUGGUAUCAUAGACCUUCCUGACUUCUCAUUCACUGCCAGGAAGCUACCCUUUCUUCCCAUUGUUGCUUGUUCAGUCUUCUGCACAUGAUUAUUCAGACUGGUUACAUAUGGAAUCAUGAACCCACUCCCUUGUCAUUUGCUUUUACAGGGACCACCUCUGCCUCCCUUUAGUAUUUCAUGAAAUCCUUGUUAGAGCUAACAUAACUGCUAACAUGAAAACGAGUCAGAGAUGCAAGUUUAAUGUAUUUAUAGCUUGAAAUGAGUAGAGAUCAUCAUGUUCCUGAGCAGAAAUUCUGAAUAUUGUGAACAUGGAUGGCAGAACUGAGAUGACAGGAUCUCCCAUGCUGUUGUUGUCGUAUUUUAGUUGAACUCAAGUGUGAAAUAAUAUUACUGUGGUUACUGCCAUAUUUAUUUAUCCUGGUUAUUUUUAAUGUGUUUUAAUUUUCAAGAGCUUGUUUAGCUUCUCAGUGUAUAUCAUUAUUCUUCUAUAGCACAGCUGGACUUCAAUUGUAAAUUAAAAUUAAGUGUUUGUAUGUUUACAAGUAAAUAAUCAUCUUUCCUACCACAAGAGAGCAUUAUAAUCUUUAGAGAGAGUAAGGCAGAGGGAACCCAGAAAAAUCUAAAAGUUAUGGCAGAUUUUUCUGCGUAAAAUAUAAAAAUAUGUUCUUUCCUUCAACGGGCGGUUUUUGCAUGUUUUAACUACUAAGUAACUACUAAACUGAAGUCCUUCAGCUUCAUUUCGGUCAGUGUUUUAUAGCAACUGAUGUGUGGCUUGACAGUUUUUUAGAUUUGACAGCCAGUAUUUUUCUAUAAUAGUUUUAAUCAUUUCUUUAAAACUGCUUAGCUCAUCUUUACUGGAUUUUUGAGCCCCUUACAGUAGACGUUGUCUAAAUGUGGAGCUGGAAGGUGGGAACAUCAUCAGGCACAAUGAUGUAACUCAGAAAUGCUACGAGGAGGAACAGAAGUAAUGUGGAGGCUUCUGUGAAGGGCUCUGAUGUGCAGCUAUGCUGAUGAUGUCUGCCUAGGACUGGGAAAGGACAAAAUGGUAUUCCCUAGGAAGCCUGCAGCUGAGGAAACCCAAAUUUGUCCAACAGCUUGGCUGCACAAUUUAGGACCGUAUCUUGCAAACAAAAACAGACUACAUCUGAUGACAAGUAAACCUUGCUAACUGCAUGUAAUGGAAAUCUGAGGAGCCUCAUCACCAGAUACUUCAGUCUGUUUAUCUGUUUCUCUUGUACUGAAUUACUUGCUAAUAUAGAGAUACCUGGGGGGGACAAUUCAGAUCCCCUUAGGCUAAGAUCAUAGCUGCAGCUGCUGACCUAACCUGGAGAUAAAAAAUAAUAAUAAAAAAUGUUCAUGUUUUUCCCCUAGGAUUCUGGACUACGUGUACAACUUUUAUUUCACUGAUGAAUUGUGUACUACUUUUAUAUUCAGAUAUGUGUAUUCAAGACAUAAAUUCAUUUCUUAUCUAGCAUACUGUAUCAUUCAUGUCAUCUUUUGCAGAGAUACUUGAAGCUUUGCAAUAGGUGCCCACAUACUGGAAAUUGGUAAAUGAAAGAAAAAAUAAACGCUUCUGUAAGGUAGCAGAGAGAGAAAUUUAACAGAACGCUACAUGCAGCUCUUGACAUUAAUAUUAUAAAAGUGGUAAAUAAAAUAAAAUUCUUAAUUUGGGGGCCGGGGGAGAAAAACAUAGACGAAAACUCCUAGUUAGAGAAAACUGAAUAUUAAAAAUGCAAAAGAAAAAAAAAUCCAGGUUGGUUGAUUGAAGUCAAAAUUGUUGUAAAAAAAGAGUUGAAAAUAUAUAAUGAAAUGACAUCAUGUAAGAAAAGAAAAAUAGUCUGAUUAGGGUGACCUAAUAACAAAAUUUUUGAAAACAGAAGCUGAAGCUUCCAUCACGUGUGGAAUAUGUUUCUCUAGUAGCCAUAGUUCAUAGAAUCAUAGUUGCCAUGCCCACAAACACAAACGUGCUUCCAAAGAAAAUUAAUGCAAAGAGGGAAUUUACUUUGUUCUGACACCAAGACAGUUCUUAUGCUCCACUUCUCCAUGUGUGACUCCCCCAUGCACAUGAACUUGUUACAAUGCAAAAGAAAUCAGCAAAGCUAAGCCAUGUAAAAGAAAGGAAGUUUUGCUACCAGUAAGAACUGGUAGGAAAUUACUGCUUCGUUUGAUGAGAGGAGCUGUAGAUAUGAGAAAGUUGUGUCUCAGAAAUUUUCACAAUUUGCAUUGUAAACACAAUAACUCAUAAGCAGAGAAAAAUUGAAGGCAAGUAGAACCCUGUAAGAGCUGUACCUGAGGCAUUUAUUGAGUAGUGUGGCAGAAAUUAAAAAAAAAA
This is a long non-coding RNA of Oxyura jamaicensis (ruddy duck), 3512 nucleotides long. RefSeq lists it as uncharacterized. The record is from RefSeq and is a predicted model, not a curated record. The transcript has 2 exons. Lineage: Eukaryota; Metazoa; Chordata; Aves; Anseriformes; Anatidae.